AUUAAUUCUGUCUUUUAUUUUGAAAUUAGUUAAAUUUUUAUAGUAUUAAAUAUAAGUUUUUGCGUGAAGUUUUUUUUAUCUAAAAGAUAAAUUUAUUUAUUUAUUUGUAGUUUUUAAUUUUUUGUAUUACAUAGUUGUAGAUCUUAGUUAUUGGUGUUAAAGAAUUGUUUAAGGCUGUGCCAGCAAACGCGGUUAUACAGUUUAUUCAAGUUAAUUUUUUUGGUUAUGUAUUUAUUUAUAUUUUUUGGGAUUAAUUUAUUUUUAUUAGGUGAAAUUCUAAUUUUGAAUAUUUUCUCUUGGUUAAAGAUUAUAUGAAGUUUAGGAAUUAAACUAGGAUUAGAUACCCUAUUAUUCUAAAUGUAAAUUUUGGCCUUAUUAUUAAUAGUUAUGAUCUUUAAAUUAAAAGGAUUUGGCGGUAAUUUAGUCUUUUCAGAGGAACCUGUUCUGUAAUCGAUGAUCCACGUUGGAUUUCACUUUAAUUUUUGUUUAUAUAUCUCUGUCAUUGAAUGUUUUAUUAGAAUAUUUUCUUUAAUUAUUAAUUUAUUUAAUGUCAGGUCAAGGUGUAGCUAUAUUAAAGGUUGAAAUGGGUUACAUUUAAUGCUUAUUUAUUGGAUUAUUAAUUUUGUAAUUAUAUUUAUGAAAUGGGAUUUGAAAGUAAUUUUUAUUAUUUUGUAAUGAUGAUUUUGGCUCUAAAUUAUGUACACAUCGCCCGUCACUCUCAUUUUAAGAUGAGAUAAGUCGUAACAAAGUAAUUCUAUUGGAAAAUGGAGUUGGAAUUAU
This 780-nucleotide non-coding RNA is filed under the name Physomerus sp. Lineage: Eukaryota; Metazoa; Arthropoda; Insecta; Hemiptera; Coreidae. The record is from RNAcentral.